This 466-nucleotide ribosomal RNA is filed under the name uncultured bacterium. RNAcentral's name for it is "partial 16S ribosomal RNA". It matches the Rfam family "Bacterial small subunit ribosomal RNA", at positions 28 to 505 of the family's 1533-position model. The record is from RNAcentral.
GACGAACGCUGGCGGCGUGCUUAACACAUGCAAGUCGAACGGAAAGGCCCUGCUUUUGUGGGGUGCUCGAGUGGCGAACGGGUGAGUAACACGUGAGUAACCUGCCCUUGACUUUGGGAUAACUUCAGGAAACUGGGGCUAAUACCGGAUAGGAGCUCCUGCUGCAUGGUGGGGGUUGGCAAGAUUCGGCGGUUGGGGAUGGACUCGCGGCUCAUCAGCUUGUUGGUGGGGUUGUGGCUUACCAAGGCUUUGACGGGUAGCCGGUCUGAGAGGGUCACCGCCCACAUUGGGACUGGGUCUGGACCGAGACGCCCACGGGAGGCAGCAUUGGGAAAUAUAGCACACUGUGGGAAAGCCUCAGUCAGUGGCCCCGCGGGCGGGAUGCCGUCCUCCGUGUUGAAACCCGCUUUCGCUUGGUACGACGCUGGAGUGCCGGUAAUGGGUAAAGACUCGCCGUGCACUGUCG